Molecule: unclassified non-coding RNA, 191 nt
Filed under: uncultured Glomeraceae
Lineage: Eukaryota; Fungi; Glomeromycota; Glomeromycetes; Glomerales; Glomeraceae
Description: sequence contains ITS2
Source: RNAcentral
UUAAAUAAAAAUCGGUGUUGUCGCUGUCUUUCGUGGUGACGCGUCGGAAUUGAGUCUUCUUAUCUUUGGUUAAGUGACUUAAAAUUUUAUAUAAUUUUCGAACGUAUUUAAAUUGCUUACGUACGUUUGAGAUAUCGAAUAUUUUAUUAGGUUCGGUCAUCCUUAUGACUCGCGCCUAUAAUUUUUUCAUU